CGAGAAAUUGAAAAGAUGAAAAUUUGUAAUCACCAAUUGAUUUCUAGAAAGACGAAGGGUCAAAGAUGUAGAAGACGAUGAGUCGACUCUCUCCUGUCAAUACAUUUCUCUAAACCCCCACUGUCCCUCUCGACCUUUCCCAUUCAAAUCGUAUCUCCUUAGUCAUUUGAUUUCUAAAACCUAAACUCCUGAUUUCUAGAUACUAUCUCACGCUCGAUUUCUGUUAAUAAGAAGAGUGAAUAAAGGAGUUAGAGUUUAAAGUUUUAUUCGGCCUUCAGUAGGAUGCCAUUGACUUGACGGUCUUAAGAGUGAAAAAGAAGCUAUCAUUCUAGAAAAUAAUCUUUAUAGUCGAUGUGGGAGCUUGCAAGUGCCUAGCAAAAUAAAUUGACUCCAAACAAGAAGUCAGCCAUCAAGCAAAAAGAAACUAUUGAGGAAUGAAACAAGUAGGUGGAUUUGGUAGGGGUUAGCUUCAAAGAAUGCACAAAGAAAUUGUUUUAGGUGGUUUGUGUUUAUUGAUAAGAUUUUUUUUCACUGUAAAAUUUAUUGCAUUUUUGUUAUUUAAAGUUUUUUUUUGUAUAUUUGUUUGGUCUAUUCUUCCUCAUAAACAGGGGGCAUUUUUUAAUUUUUUGUCCGGGGCAUAGAAAACCAAUGGACCGGCCCUGAUUGUAACAAUAUAAAGAAGUCUUUUAAAUGUUUCUUCAGAAAAGGGGGGUGUAUUAACACCUCUAGAGCAUACAUUUUUGCUUUUCAUGUUUUUCAAUAAGAUAUAUGUACACUAAACAGUCAUUUAUAGUUCGUUGAAUUCUCUUUCCCUAAAACAUAUUCCAUGUACUACCAGCUAAUAUGUUAUUCAAGAA
Long non-coding RNA from Lactuca sativa (garden lettuce), 857 nucleotides. RefSeq lists it as uncharacterized. Lineage: Eukaryota; Viridiplantae; Streptophyta; Magnoliopsida; Asterales; Asteraceae. The record is from RefSeq and is a predicted model, not a curated record.